UUCUGACCGUAAACGAUGCCAACUAGCGAUCCGCCGGUGGCUCUACGGCCCUGGUGGGGAGCUUCCCGGAAACGAAAGUCUUCCGGUUCCGGGGGAAGUAUGGUUGCAAAGCUGAAACUUAAAGGAAUUGACGGAAGGGCACCACCAGGAGUGGAGCCUGCGGCUUAAUUUGACUCAACACGGGAAAACUCACCCGGCCCGGACACCGUGAGGAUUGACAGAUUGAUAGCUUUUUCAUGAUUCGGUGGUUGGUGGUGCAUGGCCGUUCUUAGUUCGUGGAUCGAUUUGUCUGGUUUAUUCCGAUAACGAGCGAGACUCCAGCCUACUAAAUAGUGCAGGCAUUGCUACUGUGCAUUGCACUUCUUAGAGGGAUUGGCUGCGUCUAGCGGCACGAAACGGAGCAAUAACAGGUCUGUGAUGCCCUUAGAUGUCCGGGGCUGCACGCGCGCUACACUGGCAAAGGCAGCGUGCUUGUCCGUCUCCGAAAGGAGCCGGUAAACCCUUGAAAAUUUGCCGUGAUUGGGAUCGGAAAUUGCAAUUAUUUUCCGUGAACGAGGAAUUCCUAGUAAGUGCGAGUCAUCAGCUCGCGUUG
RNAcentral lists this ribosomal RNA (592 nucleotides) under Hemicycliophora sp. TSH-2010. RNAcentral's name for it is "SSU rRNA". It matches the Rfam family "Eukaryotic small subunit ribosomal RNA", at positions 1024 to 1643 of the family's 1831-position model. The record is from RNAcentral. Lineage: Eukaryota; Metazoa; Nematoda; Chromadorea; Rhabditida; Hemicycliophoridae.